UCCGUAGGGUGCAAGCGUUGUCCGGAAUCAUUGGGCGUAAAGCGCGCGUAGGCGGCUUUUCAAGUCGAUUGUGAAAUCCCCGGGCUCAACCUGGGAACUGCAGUCGAGACUGUCUAGCUAGAGUAUGGGAGAGGGAAGUGGAAUUUCAGGUGUAGCGGUGAAAUGCGUAGAUAUCUGAAGGAACAUCAAUGGCGAAGGCAGAUCUCUGGGCCGUAACUGACGCUGAGGAGCGAAAGCAUGGGGAGCGAACAGG
Molecule: ribosomal RNA, 253 nt
Filed under: uncultured bacterium
Lineage: Bacteria
Description: partial 16S ribosomal RNA
Rfam family: Bacterial small subunit ribosomal RNA
Source: RNAcentral